GUGCCAGCCGCCGCGGUAAUACCGGCAGCCCGAGUGAUGGCCGAUCUUAUUGGGCCUAAAGCGUCCGUAGCUGGCCGCGCAAGUCCGUCGGGAAAUCCACCUGCCCAACAGGUGGGCGUCCGGCGGAAACUGUGUGGCUUGGGGCCGGAGGACCCGAGGGGUACGUCCGGGGUAGGAGUGAAAUCCUGUAAUCCUGGACGGACCGCCGGUGGCGAAAGCGCCUCGGGAAGACGGACCCGACAGUGAGGGACGAAAGCCAGGGUCUCCAACCGGAUUAGAUACCGAGUAGUCC
Molecule: ribosomal RNA, 292 nt
Filed under: uncultured bacterium
Lineage: Bacteria
Description: partial 16S ribosomal RNA
Rfam family: Archaeal small subunit ribosomal RNA
Source: RNAcentral